ACUCCUACGGGAGGCAGCAGUGGGGAAGUAUUGCAUCAAUGGGCAGGCAAGCCUGCAUGCAGCCAUGCCGCGUGUGUGAAGAAGGCCUUCGGGUUGUAAAGCACUUUCAGUUGUGAGGAAGGUGGUGUCGUUAAUAGCGGCAUCAUUUGACGUUAGCAACAGAAGAAGCACCGGCUAACUCCGUGCCAGCAGCCGCGGUAAUACGGAGGGUGCGAGCGUUAAUCGGAAUUACUGGGCGUAAAGCGCAUGCAGGUGGUUUGUUAAGUCAGAUGUGAAAGCCCGGGCU
Molecule: ribosomal RNA, 286 nt
Filed under: uncultured bacterium
Lineage: Bacteria
Description: partial 16S ribosomal RNA
Rfam family: Bacterial small subunit ribosomal RNA
Source: RNAcentral